GUGGAUUUGGAUUUAUGGCAGGCCCAUCACUGUGGGCCUCACAUAGUGCCCAUGCCAGAGCAAACUGUAGCCCCAAACCAUUGCCUGGCCUCCUUGCCCAUAGGCUGUGGGCACUGAAGCAGGUUGCACAGUG
Small nucleolar RNA from Loxodonta africana (African savanna elephant), 133 nucleotides. Ensembl annotates it as small nucleolar RNA SNORA42/SNORA80 family. NCBI's taxonomy places the organism in Eukaryota, Metazoa, Chordata, Mammalia, Proboscidea, Elephantidae. The record is from Ensembl.